RNA transcript from Grammomys surdaster, 5101 nucleotides. It is a transcript of the gene named peptide deformylase, mitochondrial, with no coding region annotated. The transcript is spliced from 3 exons. NCBI's taxonomy places the organism in Eukaryota, Metazoa, Chordata, Mammalia, Rodentia, Muridae. The record is from RefSeq and is a predicted model, not a curated record.
AUGGCGCUGCUGGGCGGGCUGCGGCUGCCCGCGUGGGUUCCGCUGAGCCGGGCGCAGAACUGCAGCUCGUGGGCCGGCUUCGAGGGGCCUGCGCGCACGCGCUCCUACUGGCGGUACCUGAGGCGCCUCGUGUGGGGCGCGCCGCAGCCGCCGUACCCGCGCGUGUGCCAGGUCGGGGACCCGGUGCUGCGCGCCGUGGCGGCCCCGGUGGAACCCAAGCAGCUGGCGGGGCCGGAGCUGCAGCGGCUGGUGGGGCAGCUGGUGCGGGUGAUGCGACGGCGCCGCUGUGUGGGCCUUAGUGCGCCGCAGCUCGGGGUGCCGCUGCAAGUGCUGGCGCUCGAGUUCCCGGACACGCUCUUCCGUGCCUUGUCACCGCGCCUGCGCGAGCUGCGUCAGAUGGAACCCUUCCCACUUCGGGUGCUGGUAAACCCCAGCCUGAGGGUGCUGGACAGCCGCUUGGUCACCUUCCCCGAGGGCUGUGAGAGUGUCGCCGGCUUUCUGGCGUGUGUGCCUCGCUUUCAGGCCGUGCAGAUCUCAGGACUGGACCCAAAAGGAGAGCCAGUGGUGUGGUCAGCAAGUGGUUGGACAGCUCGAAUCAUCCAGCAUGAGAUGGAUCACUUGCAGGGCUGCUUGUUCAUCGACAAAAUGGACAGCGGGACAUUUACCAAUCUUCACUGGAUGGAGGUGAAUGACUGAAGCUCUCCUUGAAUUGAGGAUCUGGAAGGCCAUCAUGCAGGCUAACAUGGUGAUAUCUUCUUGUGCUUCAACUUGGAAUUGGUUCCAAUCUGACAGUAAACAGUGAACUGCUGGUAUGUGCUGGGCUGAGAUGAAGAUGAUAGAAAUGCUUGCCCUGAAAUCAGAUCUGACAGAAUAUGAUUACAACAUGAGUACAAAUAUACCCUUGAAGAAGGAGUGGCUAUUUCCUGACAAUUUCACAUGGAGAGGAGCUGGCAGGAGGUCGUCUGCAUUCACUGUGGGCCGGGUAGUGGCCAAAGACCGGAGCAUGUCCGACUGCAGAGACAAGGAUGCAGCUGAGAAAGGCUGACUCCAGGGCCUCAGCACUCUUUUGUCAUGCUAUCUAACUGACAAGAGGCCUGCCUUCCAUCUGAAAAACUACUUCACCUACAGCUCCCAUGCCAUCCCUGCAGUAGUUCCGUUACUGAAUUCACUCCACAGUGCAGACAGCUGCCGGGAGAGACUAGGUGCUGCAGCUAGGAGCUCCUCUAGGAGAGGUCUAGACUGUUCAGGUAAGAGCCAUGUGAAAAAAGAUUUUCACCGGCUUCCUUCUGAACCAAAAAGCCAGGCCUUGGAAUGAUAAUUAGUAGCUUGACUUUACUUCUUUUCCUCUUAAAGACCCUCAGGGUCUCAGCAAGAACCCCAGCUACCUACAACCCCAAAGGCUGGGGGGUGGGGGGCGGCUGUGAGCCAGGACAAUAGGAAGAUGUGUAUCUUUAUUCUGGACUUUGUGGUUCUCUGCAGUGGGUCACUUACCAUGCAGACCACAGGCUCUAAGAGUUUAUCACCAGGGACAUCCAUCCAAGUCAUCUCUAUGGCCCCUGGAUCUCCUGGAGAACAUGGGGUCAGAAGAUCAUCAAUCAUAACACUAGGGUUGGUUCGAGAAGGGCCACAAACCUGAAACCAAGCAGAGACCAAGCAUGAGGCUGGCUGUUUAGUGGGUACAUCAGGACCUAGGGAUGGCUGAAGGGAACACCGAGGCUCUAGUCAUCAAAGUUGGAGGAGGGAGAAGCACCUUAAAAAUAGUCUGAGGGCUGGAAAGAUGACUCAGUCAGUGCUUGGUAUGCAAAUCUGGCUACCUGAGUUCCAUCACAAAGUUGUCCUUUUACCUCUAAAACAUGCUGUGGAACCUUCAUAUACUGCCUCUCUACCCGCACAGAAUUUAAAACAAGUCAAAAAGAAACCUUGGCAAACACCUGUAAUCUUAGCACUUAGCAAGUACAGGAUGUGUAAGUUCAAGGUCAUCUUCAACUAUAGGAUGAGUUUGAGAUUGUUCUGGACUGAACCAUCUUAAGAAAUAAAUGUACGUGGGCUAGUAAGAUGGCUUAGCAGGUAAAGGCAUCAGACCAAGCCUGAUGAUCUGAAUAGGAUCUCCCAGAUCCACAUAGUAGGAGAGAACUCCUUAAGACCUCUAUGUGUGUGCACGUGUACACAACAACUAUAAAAGAGGUCCAAGAGGAAUGAUCUGGUUUCAGAGGUGAUUGGACAAUAUGAUCCUCCAGCUGUUGGCCUCCAGAUCUUCCUGAAGCCCCAAAUGUUUCAUCUUCCACAAUAAUGCCAUCAAGAUUCAUCCCAUAAAUGUACUUGCAGCAAAAAUGUUCCUCUCACUGAAGUCUCCUGCAAUGGGGAAACAUACUAAGCAUACCAAAUCCUCAUGAAUUGGCUCAGGUCACUCCAGCAUGGUUUGUCAUCUUUUUUUUGUUUUGUUUUUCGAGACAGGGUUUCCCUGUGUAGCCCUGGCUGUCCUGGAACUCACUGUAGACCAGGCUGGCCUUGAACUCAGAAAUUCACCUGCCUCCCAAGUGCUGAGAUAAAGGCGUGCACCACCACUGCUCAGCGUGGUUUGUCUUCUAAUAGAGCAAACUGCUCGCCCCUCCAACUUCUGAGACUCCUGAUGACUCCACUUUGCUGAUAGGUACCCACUAUUUAAAGGAGAAUUAGCAUUUCUCUCAUAAGUUGUCUCCAUUACUGUCUUCCAUACACGCAGGACAGGGCUGGCAAACAGCACGACCCACACAGCAGACAAUCAGCUUGAAUGAUUGGGAAGUCCCCCUUCCAUUUACUGUGUCUGACACAAUGGAAGUGCUUGGUUGUCUGCACUCUGCCCUCCAGCAUGAUGCUGCCUGCCUAUCUUGUUUCCUAUAGCUGAAGAGCAUUAUACUCCAGCAGUAAUGGCAGGCAGGAUGUGUACUGCUCCAGUCCUAGAGCAAAAUGGUACCGGUUCUCCCACAGUGAAUGUCCCUUGAACAGCCAGAAAGUUGUUGAAGAGGCUACUCACACCUCCUGACUGCUAACACUGCCUAAGCCACUGCUGCCACUCACCUUCUUGAAGUGUGUUGCUGACUGUACUUUUCUGACUGGCUGCAUGAGGGAGUCCCGCACAAUAAUGCUGAUAUCUGCUCCUGAGUAGCCUUCUGUCUUGCGGGCCAGCUCAUGGAUGUUAGCAUCCGUGAGGUUGUGAGGUGUGCUUCCCAGAUGUAACCGAAACAUCUGGGCACGGGCUGCUUCCUCUGGCAAUGGGAUAUAAAUUCGCUUUUCAAACCUGGAAAGAUGCAUGACAUGAAAGCUGAGCUGAUCGCAGAGUGGUGGGAAGGGAGCAUGCAUGCUGAAAUGAGUGAUCCAGGCCCAAUACCCAGCUUUACCAAAGGGCUCUGCUUGACUUGCAGACUUGGGAAGAUUCUAGAGAAAUGGGGGCAGAUGGCUAGUUACAAACUGACCAUAGAGCUAGACAAAGAUAACAGACUCCUUCUAGGGGAGACUUACCUCCUCCUGAUGGCUGAAUCCAACACCCAGGGGAUGUUUGUGGCACCAAGAACAAGAGUCCCAUCAUUAUUAUUUCCCACUCCUGUGGAGAAUAGGAGACAAGUGACUGAAGAUGCCAGCAGGAGCAGCCAGACCCCAUGGGAAACUAAACCAUCUUGGGGCUUCCCUGGGUAGAGACCUACAGCACCACUUGUUCAGAGGAAUGGGAAGGCGACAUGACAAGGCCUCGGAACCCUCUCCCCCAUUGUGCCCAGUGCAGCUACAUCAUGGAGCCCUGGGUUGCCUUUAGGUAGAAGCCGGCCAAAGAGUGACAAAACACAAGCACACACCUUGCAUCUGGACCAAAAACUCUGUUUUGAUCCUUCGGGCAGCCUCACUCUCGUUUUCAUUCCGUGACCCACAGAGGGAAUCCACCUCAUCAAUGAAGAUGAUGGAAGGCUUAUGCUGUCUGGCCAACUCAAACAGGUUCUUGACUAGCCUGUGGGAAUAAGAAAGGGGUCAAGACCUGGACACUCCACCCAAACAUGCCCACCCUGGUGCCUCUCCCACAGGAAGGCUUUUUUUUUUUUUUUUUUUUUUUAAAAAAAGGAACAGGAAAAACAGCGCUGCAGACAAGUCCCCAAACAGUAGUGAAUCUUGGCAUCAGCCUCAAAUUUUGGGAGAGGAGCCCCACUCAUUAGCUCUUUGCCUUUCUCUGAGCCUCAGAUUCAUAUCAAAGAACGGAGGUCAUCUUGAGGAAUAAGCUAAACCCAUGAAAUGCCCCCAAAGAGGAUAUACAGCUGACUACAGAUGUGGUGACACAUGUCUGUUACCCCAAAACUGAGGAUGUAGUGUUAGGAGAAUCAGAAGUUCAAGGUAAGCCUCUGCUGCUACUGAUGGAGAUCGUAGCCAGCCUGGGGUACGUGAGAUUCUGUCUCAUAAAACCAAAAAGAAAACAAAUGAUACAUACUUAAAAUUGGUUCAUUUCCCUAUUUUUAUUUUACUUACAUUGGUGUUCUGCCUGUAUGUAUGUCUGUAUGGGGGUGUUGGAUUCUCUGGAAUUGGAAUUACAGAAGUGAACUGAAUGUUGUGGGUGCUGAGAGUUGAACCCAGGUCCUUUGAACCCUGAGCCAUCUCUCUAGCUCCUUUCUUUUUUUAUUUGCUUUGAGACAAGGUCCAAUUACACAGAACAGGCGGACCUUGAACUUGUAAUCAAUCCUUCUGCCUCUGUAUCCUGAGUGCUAGGAUUACAGGGGUGCCUCAUCAUUUCCAAGUUCCCAGAUAUAUAUGUAUCAGGACAGCAUCUCAAGAAGUAAGAGCCUGUUCUGACUACUACCCCUGAUUAUCCAACAGCAGCUCCUCUGGGAAGUGAUUUCCAAGGGGCCAGGAAGCUGGACUACCAGCAGCUGCCAAGGCUGCUGUAGCAUAGCUGAUGGCUGACUUACUUCUCGCUUUCCCCCAACCACUUAGACAUCAGAUCCGAGGAGGACACAGAGAAGAAGGUGGAGUUGUUGGCUUCUGUUGCCACGGCUUUGGCCAGGUAGGACUUGCCUGUGCCUGGGGGCCCAAAGAGUAGUAUACCUCGCCAAGGAGUGCGUUUGCCUGUAAUAAAGAAUGAACAGAA